AUCUCCCGACCUCUGCGUCGCUACCUUGCGACGAGGUCGGGGAAUCGUCUAUCAUCACAUCGUGAACUAAUCUGUUGUUUUGCAGAGAAUCUAAUGUGUCACUUUAGUACUUCUUCUGUUAAAGUAUUAUCCAUUUAAAGUGCAAGUGGAUCAGAGCUGACUCUCGAGGAACACUUCGUCACGAGGAAGAAACACUCGAAUACCAUUCGACCAACAGAUGCUGCGGAAGUCUCUCGAAGUACUGCCGAAAUUCCUCGAACUCGGUGUCGGCCAUUCUGUUAGCGAACGGUUGUGAAACGACGU
Osmia bicornis bicornis is the source of this 303-nucleotide long non-coding RNA. RefSeq lists it as uncharacterized. The record is from RefSeq and is a predicted model, not a curated record. The transcript has 3 exons. Lineage: Eukaryota; Metazoa; Arthropoda; Insecta; Hymenoptera; Megachilidae.